UUAAAUAUAUCACUUUAAAUAUGAAAAUUGAUACAUGCACACAUAUGUAAUGAAAUUAAACUUGACUAAUGCAACAGCAGAGUGAAAGUCUCAUGAAUAUGGGAAGAAAUGUUACAAAUGUUCUGCAUCCUUUUGACACUACCAAUCCAAAGUGAUUAUUUCUAUGGGCAAUUUUUUAACGAGCUUUAGUUAAAUUAUGUUCUUGAUGAAUAACAGUGGCUCUGAAAUGUGGCGUAGGUGCACCACUACCGACUAACUCCAACACCAUGCUGACAGCCCGCCUUGCCGAUACCUACCCGCCCACACUUGGUCCUCUUGCCCAGGACACUGCAUAGCAGGCAACACAUAAACUUGAUCAUACAAACCUUAAUCAAUUUUCUGCUUGCAAAAUAAAAGAGCAUAUUCCUAAACCACAAAGAUGGGACAACGACCAUCUCUGUCAGAGGAGGUAGUGUAUGAUUAAAAAAUGGUAGUUUGUUGUAUUAAAAAAUUGUAGAAAUUGGGGUGGAAAUCCGUGGAUCUACCAUGUAAGGAAUAUACUGAACAUAAUUUGGUCUCACUAUUUGUAGAGCUUAGAGAACAACAAAGUAAUGCAGAAAACAAAACAUGGGACUGUACAUAUUCUAACACACCACUGCACCAUAUAGAUACAAGAUAGAUCAAUUAGAAGGGGCAACUUGUGCUCUGUUUAUGAGAGAAAUAAAUCAAAUAAUAUUGCAAGAGAUUGAAAAAUGAUGGCAAGAACAAAUCAAAUAAUAUUGCAAGAUACAACACAUUAUGAAAGAUCAUACCUCGACAAAGCAAACCAGGGACUGUAGAUCCACGGAUGGCCACCGCAAUUUCUACAAUUAUGCAAAAUAAAAUACAAGGUAAGAAAAUCACUGAAUUAUAACUGGAAACUGAAUUUUGCUCUGAACCAUAGCAUGCACUUGACAAAGUUAAAUACCCAGAAGGAAAAUAUCAUAUGCGGUAAAGAUCAUGGAGAGAUCGAAUUGAUUGGAGUCUCUACUAAACACUUAUCGGCUUCAUCAUAUGGCCAUUAUGCUUGCUUCUGACAAUUAUGCUUCUAACUAAAGUACAAAAGUAUCCAAUGAGAUCGGAAACGCGCCUUGGCGCGAGGGUGCCGGUUACAACGUUGUGACCAAGUACAUAAUGCACAAUUUGAUAGCUCAGUUGAUAAGAAAUCACAUAGGACUAAAAAAGUCACUACCUUUAACUAUGUAAUCACCUGGAAAAAAUUGCAUAAUUGUUAUGAUAAUCCUGCUGGUACAAACUAUGAUAGUUAGGAUAAUAACCUUGGUGCUUUCAUAUGAAAAAAAACACCAACAAUCAUGAGGCCCUUAAGGAAUCCGUAAGGUACACAGUUCACAUACAUAUUCUAGAUGCACCAAUUGAUGAGCAUACAAAACGAUUUGAAAUUUCCUCGCAAACAUAUAGAACGUGGAAGCAAACUGCAGAUAGAAGAGAAAUAAGGCAACAUGCAAAACAGAAACUGGCCUCACCAUGAUACCUGUUACUUUUGCGAUCAAGCGUUCGUGGCCCAAAAUUUCAAAAUGAAGCCUGAAGAUUCAGAUCAAUAAAAAGUACACUGUCACUGCUUGCACAGGCUAGCACCUCUGGAAUGAGAGAAAUAGAAGUCUUCCAACAGAAAACUAAGGUUGCGCCCUUGCUUUUUCACUUGAUUGGAGAUGAUAUUAGCCUCACUGCUGAUGAGUACGUGAAGUAACCCCUCUUUGUUGUACAGCCGAGAGAGCUCCAGACUUUCUUUUUCCUUUUUUUACCUUUAACUGUACUCACUCCGUGGAACAGCAGGGAUUCUGUUCUUCGCUUCAAAAAUGAAAAUUGUGUCUUCCAGUUAGAAGUCUCCAGAUUUGUUACGGUGUAAAGUUAUGUAGCAGAAAUCUUAACUCAUCUAUUAUUUAUGCUGACAGUAAAAUCAGUAUAGUUACAUAAUACUGAAGUGCAUCCUUAGAACAAAAAUAACAGGGAGGUCUGAAUGCCUAUAAAAAUGGAAAAUGACACCAUUGAAUAGACAAACUAAUAUAGAUUAUUUGGAAAAGUGUAUUUAUAUGGUCAUCGAAUAAUAAUUAAUUCAGAGUAGUAAAUAGAUGUCAGAGGAUCCUAAUUCUACAGUUUGUACUCCAGAUACCAACAAUGGCUUUUUCAGCAAAGUUGUAACAUAAUAAGGUAAUGAGGUAGCAUGAGAGUACGAUUAAUUCAGAGCAAUAUGAAUGGAAUAAUCCUGAAGACAAUCAUUAGUACAGAGCACAUAUGAUGAACAUUAAUUCAGAGCUAACCUUCCAUAAUACGACCCUGUUACAUCUCAUGCAGUACCUUCUUUGCUGCAGUUAUGUGACGCUGUAGUUUCUUCUUUUCGUUCCAAUCCUGUAACGUAAAAUAUUCAGAGAAGAAAUAUUACAAUUCAGUACUAAUUUAGUGUAACGAAAGUUGCAAAAGGGGUAAAAUGCUUCCAUGGCAGAAUCUGAAACAAUCAUGUUAACUACUACCACUGUCCUAUAAUAUAAGACGUUUUACAGUUCACAAUAUUUUGAAACCCUAAAUCAAUCCAUGAUAUUGUAGAGGUUUCUAACUAUAACCACCUUAGCUCUAUAAGGUUAACAUUAUGUGUGAUGAGAAAGAGUUGCAGUUGCAAUUAACAGAAUUAAAUUAAUUUUUGUGCCAUCGUAAAACUGGAGUGAUGUAAAUCAAGUCAACAACCUAUACAACGCAAUCUAUGCAACAGAAAUAUCUUUUUUCUAAGGAUUAGUGUCAAAUUGAUUUGCGAAAAAAACUUGGAUUUACAAUCUGCAACCCUAUGUUUGUCCCAUUUAUCCGAAAACUUCAAGCCAUGUUUGUGUGUAACAGCUGGUACACUAAUGCAGUAGGAUACCGUUGGAUCAAGAAAUGAGGUCAGAUCAUAUAUUGUUUCUAUUUGUAUAAGACUACAAAUUUUUUAAAUUCACGCAGCCAGUGAUAUUUUUGAGCACCAUGGAGGAGGAAGGGGAGAAGUGAGACCGACGAGGAGAGAACCACACGCCCUCCCCAGCUCGUAGAGGAAAACACCAGGGACUCGAUAUGCCGGUACUCCUCGCCACCCCCGGGAAACUCUUCAAACUUCAGCAAGAGUACAAACAUGGCAAAUAAUUAAAAAUAAUAGAACAGCCGGUAAGAUCUUACAUAGAAAAAUUAUAUUUCAAAGAGCAACUGCUUAAACCAUUGAGUACAAAAGCCAUUCAUGCCAACCACAAAAAGGAAAUAAUGUGCAGUGCAAGGCUAAUAUGAUUUAUCUAUUACCAAUCACCGUAUCCAUUUAAAUUAUAAUCUGAACAUAUAUACUUUCCAGUCACAUGGCAUCAUCUUUUUAAUUGAACUAAACCUCCAAAGUUAUGUCAAUGAUUAAAUAUGGCAUUAGUGUAAAAUAUGGUAAUGGGGUGGUUUAUUUGGGUCAAAAUAAGGCAAACAACACAACACAGAGUAUCCAAUUAAGCAUAGCAAUUAACAAUGAGGGAUACUAAUGAGGGAACUCUGAAAAUGGAUAGAUCACCUCACAUAAUGAUUAUCUCAGCAUACCUAGGCUAGGCAAGUGAAACCGACAAUAAGGGUAAAUAGAGCGGCCGUUCCCUUGGCAGUGGCCGCUCCAUGUCCUCCUCCCCCUGCAUAUCCUGCCAUGGAACAACCGACAGAGCGACCCCAGAUCAGAAGCCCGCGCGCGACGAAACGAACUUGCGAGACGGGGUAACGUGGGCCCACCAUGUUACCUGGGUGAAGAGGAGGGAGCCAAAGAAGCCCGCGAGGAAGAAGAUGCAACAUGAGAGGAGCACCACAGGGAGCCACAGCCGCGUCGGCAUGAACCAACCGCAGUCGGUCCUGAUGGCUGGCUAGCACAAGGGAGGGCCGGCAUGAUCCCGCAACAACAACAUGAAUUUGCAGCAAUCCAUCCAUGCUCUUAUCAUGUUGUAUGCAAAACACACACAAAAUCCGAUCAUGUUAAUAGAGCAACCAGAACCUUCUAUGUCAUAUGGAGAUUAAAAGGAAUAAGAAUUAAGGAUAUAUCAAACGAGUAGUUCAACUCUACACACAUGAUCAAGAAAAUGGUAGUGUGGGUAGCAUAUAUAUGCAGCAAUCCAUCUCCAUGCUCUUAUCAUGUUUUCUGCAAUCCAGAGUGACACCUACCAUCAGCAACAUAACCUGCAUAAAAGCACACCUAUGAUUAGUAAUACUGGACUAAAUCUCGCUAUAAAUUAGAGCACGUUGAUACUCUUUAUGGGAAUAAAUUAGAACAAAAACUGAAAACAAAUUAUGGAUACAUACUAUCGGAUCUAGCGUGAGCAUUUGAAAAUAUGUGCCAAAAACAUACAAGGUUGUGUUCUGUGAGAAAAGGAGAAGUGUCUGACACACAAAUAGAUGCUUACAGACAAACAUUUUCAGGUUCUCAACUUCUCAAGUAAUCAAUUUUCAACCACAAAUGUUAUUCUUUAAAAGGCGUGAGUUCAAAUGUGUAAACUGAACCAAGGCAUAUUACUUUUUCUAUGGUACAAAUAACCCCUUAUGCACUCUUGGCCUUCUUCUGGCCAUAUAAAUUCUCAAGCUCUUUCAGAUUUCUCAAACCCUGCCUUUCUCCGACAACAUGUCCAUUAUCCAACUGAUUCAAGCGAUUAAGUCUGAACAUGGCAACUGAGAGCCAUUGUCUUCCUCAACAGAAAGGAAGCAAGUUACAUUCAAGCAAACUAAGCACAAGCUUGACCUAUUAAAAUACAAGAUAUAAAUGAAAGAAUAAGGUAGGAAGAGAGCUGCCAGAAAUGCUUAAAACCCACUAAACACCAACGCUGACUAUUGGAUAUUUUGCCAAACGCACCAUCUAUUCUUCUCUUAAUUCAUCGAUGAUGGCGCAACAGGUGUAUUGCUCAAUCUAUCUAUCCAACUAAUGUAUAGCCUUCGACCAUCUAUGUCGAUGCAUCUCACCUCUAACUGAACUGUUACCACACGAAACAUAAAUACACUGCAUAUGUACCAAGAAAAGUAAUCCUUGAUUUCUCUUUGCAUAGCAAUAAUGAAAUUAAACAAAGGAGAACAUAAUGCUUACAUAGACAUGAAAAGCAACAGAAUUAGAUAUUUUGUGAGAAGCAUAGCACGCACAUGAUAAAAUAAAAGCCCAGGAAAAGAAACAAAUUGUGAGAGGAAUGGAAUAUGGAGAGAAACAACCUUGGAAUCAGAGUGAGAGGGGGAUCACAUGUACGUGCUGCUUCCAAGGAUUGCCUCAUUCUUCAGGCCAUUGCAGAUCUGAAAAUAAAAGGCAACCGAGGUUGACAUNNN
RNAcentral lists this long non-coding RNA (5313 nucleotides) under Triticum aestivum (bread wheat). RNAcentral describes it as "long non-coding RNA (TAES_LNC004641)". Lineage: Eukaryota; Viridiplantae; Streptophyta; Magnoliopsida; Poales; Poaceae. The record is from RNAcentral.